UACAGAGGGUGCGAGCGUUAAUCGGAAUUACUGGGCGUAAAGCGUGCGUAGACGGUUAUUUAAGUCGGAUGUGAAAGCCCCGGGCUCAACCUGGGAAUUGCAUUCAAGACUGAAUAGCUAGGGUACGGUAGAGGGAAGCGGAAUUUCCGGUGUAGCGGUGAAAUGCGUAGAUAUCGGAAGGAACAUCAGUGGCGAAAGCGGCUUCCUGGACCAGUACCGACGUUCAGGCACGAAAGCGUGGGGAGCAAACAGG
Molecule: ribosomal RNA, 253 nt
Filed under: uncultured bacterium
Lineage: Bacteria
Description: partial 16S ribosomal RNA
Rfam family: Bacterial small subunit ribosomal RNA
Source: RNAcentral